Molecule: small nuclear RNA, 104 nt
Organism: Diceros bicornis minor
Lineage: Eukaryota; Metazoa; Chordata; Mammalia; Perissodactyla; Rhinocerotidae
Source: RefSeq, a predicted model, not a curated record
AUGCUCACUUCAGCAGCACCUAUACUAAAAUUGGAACAAUACAGAGAUUAGCAUAGUCCCUGUGCAGGGAUGACAUGCAAAUUCAUGACGUGUUCCAUAUUUUU